GCCUGGGUGGCUCAGCGGUUGAGCGCCUGCCUUUGGCCCAGGGCGUGAUCCUGGAAUCGAGGGAUCGAGUCCCACAUCAGGCU
RNAcentral lists this transfer RNA (83 nucleotides) under Canis lupus familiaris (dog). It matches the Rfam family "tRNA". From Rfam's summary of the family: Transfer RNA (tRNA) molecules are approximately 80 nucleotides in length. Their secondary structure includes four short double-helical elements and three loops (D, anti-codon, and T loops). Further hydrogen bonds mediate the characteristic L-shaped molecular structure. tRNAs have two regions of fundamental functional importance: the anti-codon, which is responsible for specific mRNA codon recognition, and the 3' end, to which the tRNAs corresponding amino acid is attached (by aminoacyl-tRNA synthetases). tRNAs cope with the degeneracy of the genetic code in two manners: having more than one tRNA (with a specific anti-codon) for a particular amino acid; and 'wobble' base-pairing, i.e. permitting non-standard base-pairing at the 3rd anti-codon position. The record is from Rfam by way of RNAcentral. Lineage: Eukaryota; Metazoa; Chordata; Mammalia; Carnivora; Canidae. RNAcentral also lists the same sequence under 1 other name.